Molecule: non-coding RNA, 23 nt
Filed under: Mus musculus (house mouse)
Lineage: Eukaryota; Metazoa; Chordata; Mammalia; Rodentia; Muridae
Also listed under: 1 other name
Source: RNAcentral
UGACAUCUGUCCCAGAGUUGGCU